AUUUUUUCGAACACUGAAUCAGCCAUGGCGGCUCUACAGUAUUUGGAAUCGCUACGCAAUGAUCAUCCAGAGCUUUCUGAUUGGUACACGACGCUUGCAGAUCUGUACCAACGCAAGCUCUGGCACCAGCUCUCUCUCAAGCUCGAACAGUUUGUCGCUCUCGCUGUUUUUCAGGCUGGUGACACGUUGAUACAGCUGUAUCACAAUUUCAUCACUGAUUUUGAGACAAAGAUCAAUCUUCUGAAGCUUGCACAUUUCGCUGUAAUCGUCUCUCGGCAAUAUUCGGAGAAAGAUGCUGGAAUAGGUUAUCUGGAAGGAGUAGCAGAGAAGCUCCAAAAUACUAAAGAGACACGGAUAGAGGAACCAAUACUUUAUAUUAAGUUGCAG
This 387-nucleotide unclassified non-coding RNA is filed under the name Hevea brasiliensis (rubber tree). Lineage: Eukaryota; Viridiplantae; Streptophyta; Magnoliopsida; Malpighiales; Euphorbiaceae. The record is from RNAcentral.